This 408-nucleotide unclassified non-coding RNA is filed under the name uncultured fungus. Its description in RNAcentral is "sequence contains ITS1". The record is from RNAcentral. Lineage: Eukaryota; Fungi.
UUGAUUUAUUUAUUUUUAAUUCAGAUGACACAUUUAUAGUGGGUUUGAGAAAUUUUCUGACGGGCGAACCCGCCAAAGAAACAGGUAAUUAAACACAGGGUGGGAGGUUGAACCCCGAAGGGUUCCCUUUUCAAUAAUGAUCCUUCCGCAGGUUCACCUACGGAACGUUCUUCUCACUGCACUUCGUUUGGGUGCAGCGUUCUCCAGUUCUGGAGGAGACCGGUCAUAUCUUAAUCAUCUGCGAUGACCACCAUUACUUGAUCUGUGAACCCGGGCAGUCGCACGGGGCCGCUGAUCCCUAAGAAGGGUCUCAGCAAUUUCAUGGUGUUGCCGUACUCGCAUAUUACAAGUAGGCUGCGCAAUUGUUUAAGGUCGCUGCGAAAGGCUUCAGUAGGGACGGAAGGGAAA